RNAcentral lists this unclassified non-coding RNA (400 nucleotides) under Hevea brasiliensis (rubber tree). Lineage: Eukaryota; Viridiplantae; Streptophyta; Magnoliopsida; Malpighiales; Euphorbiaceae. The record is from RNAcentral.
UUAAAUAAAUACUGAAUUUUCUCAAAUGGAUUCAAUUUUUGUUAAAAAUAAAAUAAAAUAUUAAUUUUUUUAUUUUAAAUUAUUAAAAGAAUAUAAAAGAUAAAAAAAAGUUCUUUAUUUAUUUUGUGGAAAUAAAAAUUAAAUUCAAUUUUCCUCUCAACCCCUCUCCCUCCCAAGCUCGUUUUGCAUAUCCACCUCCUCUUCUCUUUUUUGCAUUUCCUAUCUCUCUUCUCUCCAAAAUCUCCAUAGCUAAGUAUUAUUUUUAUGUGACUUAAAUUUUAAUAAUGCCUUCAUAGACCCAUUGAAUUUUAGUCCCAUUGUUUUUGGUUAUAAGUUUAACAAUAUAGAACAUGAGAAGGAUAAAAAGAAUAAAUCGAAGAAACUCAAGUUGAAGAAUGAA